Molecule: ribosomal RNA, 446 nt
Filed under: uncultured bacterium
Lineage: Bacteria
Description: partial 16S ribosomal RNA
Rfam family: Bacterial small subunit ribosomal RNA
Source: RNAcentral
CCUACGGGUGGCAGCAGUCGAGAAUCAUUCACAAUGGGGGAAACCCUGAUGGUGCGACGCCGCGUGGGGGAAUGAAGGUCUUCGGAUUGUAAACCCCUGUCAUGUGGGAGCAAAUUAAAAAGAUAGUACCACACGAGGAAGAGACGGCUAACUCUGUGCCAGCAGCCGCGGUAAUACAGAGGUCUCAAGCGUUGUUAGGAAUCACUGGGCGUAAAGCGUGCGUAGGCUGUUGCGUAAGUCGUGUGUGAAAGGCGCGGGCUCAACCCGCGGACGGCACAUGAUACUGCGAGACUAGAGUAAUGGAGGGGGAACCGGAAUUCGCGGUGUAGCAGUGAAAUGCGUAGAUAUCGAGAGGAACACUCGUGGCGAAGGCGGGUUCCUGGACAUUAACUGACGCUGAGGCACGAAGGCCAGGGGAGCGAAAGGGAUUAGAUACCCGGGUAGUC